Molecule: ribosomal RNA, 500 nt
Filed under: uncultured bacterium
Lineage: Bacteria
Description: partial 16S ribosomal RNA
Rfam family: Bacterial small subunit ribosomal RNA
Source: RNAcentral
AUUGAACGCUGGCGGAAUGCUUUACACAUGCAAGUCGAACGGCAGCACGGGGGCAACCCUGGUGGCGAGUGGCGAACGGGUGAGUAAUACAUCGGAACGUGCCCAGUCGUGGGGGAUAACGUAGCGAAAGGUACGCUAAUACCGCAUACGAUCUACGGAUGAAAGCGGGGGACCGUAAGGCCGUGCGCGAUUGGAGCGGCCCAUGUCGGUUUAGGUAGUGGGUGGGGUAAAGGCUCACCAAGCCGACGAUCUGUAGCUGGUCUGAGAGGACGACCGGCCACACUGGGACUGAGACACGGCCCAGACUCCUACGGGGGGCAGCAGUGGGGAAUUUUGGACAAUGGGCGCAAGCCUGAUCCAGCCCUUCCGCGUGCAGGACGAAGGCCUUCGGGUUGUAAACUGCUUUUGUACGGAACGAAAAGGCUCUGGUUAAUACCUGGGGCUCAUGACGGUACCGUAAGAAUAAGCACCGGCUAACUACGUGCCAGCCGCCGCGGUAA